Molecule: small RNA, 758 nt
Filed under: Pongo abelii (Sumatran orangutan)
Lineage: Eukaryota; Metazoa; Chordata; Mammalia; Primates; Hominidae
Description: retained intron
Source: RNAcentral
AACCACAAUAACAGGCGGAGGGUCGGCGUAGGUACUUUGAACUCAAGUAAACAAAAGGGAAUAUUUUCUCGUUGAUACUGGAGACUGCACAACAAUGGGGCCACGAAAAAAAAGUGUGAAAACAUGUAUCAUGAAUAAUGAAAUUCCAGAAGAAAUGACAGCAGAUGAAACAAAGGACUAUAUGAAUCAACUUUCACAUGAAGUACUUUGCCAUAUUUUUAGGUACCUGCCUCUGCAGGAUAUCAUGUGUAUGGAAUGUCUUUCCCGGAAACUAAAGGAAGCAGUGACCCUAUAUCUGCGAGUUGUGAGAGUUGUAGAUCUCUGUGCAGGGCGGUGGUGGGAAUACAUGCCAAGUGGUAAGUGGAUUUAGUCUGUGAAGUACGGUAGUUUCCUACUGGAAAGUAGUAACAAUGGUUUCAUAAAAAGUUACUUGUCUUGAGAAAGGCAAUCUAAGUCACCUUGUAGGCUGGCAAGAUUUUGUCUAAAUUAUUUAUGUUGGGUUUUAGGUUGUAAAAUGUGUUUUACCUGAGGCUUUAUUGUUUUAAUAGUCUGCUCUUUUCAUUUCCUGUCCUUAAGUAACUAUAUCAGCCUGUUCCACACAUCUGUGAUUGGAGAACAUGAGCCUUUGGUUAAUUGAGUAUAUGUGUAUCACAUUAGACAGUGCGUGUCCUUUACUCUCUGAUGCAUGUUUUCCGGUGAAUGGUAACAGUUUUCAUCAUAGAUUUCCUCUGCAACUAAACUGCACCCUUUAGUUAAAU